GAAUAGGAACAGCUCCGGUCUACAGCUCCCAGCGCCAGCGACGCAGAAGACGGGUGAUUUCUGCAUUUCCAUCUGAGUCUUGCUCUGUUGCCCAGGCUGGAUGGAGUGCAGUGGCACAAUCUCGACUCCACCUCCCAGGCUCAAGCAAUUUUCAUGCCUCAGCCUCCUAAGUAGCUGGGAUUACAGAAAAUAACAUUUCUGGUAAAAGCAAGAAUGACAUUUUAAUGGAACAAUCUGAUCCACAACAGCACUAUAAUGUGGCAAGACCGUACCAGAGUGAGAAACAGAACAAGACAUCUGUCCGACUCAGCACCCUAGCACCCAUCAAAGUACCAAUAUAUAC
Long non-coding RNA from Pongo pygmaeus (Bornean orangutan), 343 nucleotides. RefSeq lists it as uncharacterized. NCBI's taxonomy places the organism in Eukaryota, Metazoa, Chordata, Mammalia, Primates, Hominidae. The transcript has 3 exons. The record is from RefSeq and is a predicted model, not a curated record.